Molecule: ribosomal RNA, 391 nt
Filed under: Achromobacter sp.
Lineage: Bacteria; Pseudomonadati; Pseudomonadota; Betaproteobacteria; Burkholderiales; Alcaligenaceae
Description: bacterial SSU rRNA
Rfam family: Bacterial small subunit ribosomal RNA
Source: RNAcentral
GCGCAUGCCCGCGUGUGCGAUGAAGGCCUUCGGGUUGUAAACCUCUUUUGGCAGGAAAGAAACCUCGCGGGUUAAUACCCGGCGAAAAUGACGGUACCUGCUGAAUGAGCACCGGCUAACUACUUGCCAGGGGCCGCGGUAAUACCUAAGUUGCAGGCGUUAAUCAGAAUUACUGGGCGUUGAGCGGGCGGAUGCGGUUCGGAAAGAAUGAUGUGAAAUCCCACAGCUUAACUUUGGAACUGCAUUUUUAACUACCGAGCUUGAGUGUGUCUGAGGGAGGUGGAAUUCCGCGUGUAUCAGUGAAAUGCGUAGAGAUGCGGACGAACACCGAUGGCGAAGGUGACCUCCUGGGAUAACACUGACGCUCAUGCACGAAAGCGUGGGGAGCAAA